Molecule: RNA transcript, 1824 nt
Organism: Triticum aestivum (bread wheat)
Lineage: Eukaryota; Viridiplantae; Streptophyta; Magnoliopsida; Poales; Poaceae
Exons: 4
Source: RefSeq, a predicted model, not a curated record
AUCCCCUCCUCUCCCCCGAUCCACUUUCCCCCUCUUGUCCCACAGCCGCCACCCCCAACCCUCUCGCUCCCCCUCUGGAUCCCUUUCGUGCCGCCCCCAAAUCUCCUCUCCUCUCAUCUCCGCUCCCGAAUCAAAUCCCCCAUCACCUCCGCCACCCCCACCUACCCCCACCGUCGGCGUGAGCCGCGAGCACGGGAGCAUGAGCGGAGCGAUGGCCGGCGCGGGAUCCCGUCGGGCGACAGCGGGGGGAGGGAGGGCGACUAGGACUGCGGCGGGUGCGGCAACCGCAACUACGCUUUCUGCUCCCUGUGCAACCGCUGCAAGCAGCCGCGCCUCCUCGUCGACCCCAACACCCCGCGCGACUCCAAGUGGCUCCCCCGCGCCGGUGACUCGAUCUGCAACGAUGCAGAUCUCAUCUCUUCUUGUUCUGCGCCGGCCAGACCACGACCAUGGCAAGCGGAAGGAUGCACGACGGGCUGGACAACAAGGUGGAGAUCCUGGACACACGGAGGGGCUACCAAACCGGUGCUGCAGCAAGAACGACUCCGCAGCCCAUACAGGAGGUGGACUGCAUACAGUGCCUUGUUACCACCAUUCUAUCCUGCUUUGCAUUCGCAUUUUCAUUUCUGUCUUUUUGCCACCAUAUCGCAUCUUUAAAACUGCUAAGAGAUUCAAACUAAGAGGAAGUCGUGUUCAGUUUCAGUUGGCACUAUGAUAUCAAGUUUCAUCCUGUAUUGUUGGUGUUGGUUUGAUCAAAUAAACAGGGGAUUUAUUUGCAGUGUCGUUCUGAUGUGCCAGCUCAUACAACAUGCAUUAAGUAUACAAUAUCUUCCUAUUUGAAUUGAACUAGAAGUUGAAUUACUAUUACGUCUCACGCGUGCCUCGGCUGUCAUUUACUCUAUAGAACUAUUAUUAAUUGGCCCUGAUCUAAAGCAAUGUUUGAAAUGAGCAUGGUAACUAAUAUCCACACUGCUAAUUUAUCUGAACAUGGUUGAAAUGAGCGCUGCAAAUUUUGAUGUCUAAAAUCAAUUUUUACCUCAAGUCAUUAAGUAAUUAUUUUCAUUACAUCACAGUUAGCUGAGAAUAUUGACUUGAAUAUUUUAUGUAUGCCCUGAUGCAUGUACACAUACGGUUGAGCAAAUUCCGAGUUGCAGUGGAACAACCUGGAGUUAGAUAGGUUCAAUUCUUCUUGUGCAGACCUGCCCCCUCCUGCUCCGGGUUUUCACCAAGGUGCUCUGCUCUUGUGCACGAUGACCGGCGUGACGGCGGCUAUGUAUGGCAGCGACCACAAGCUCAUCGAUGAGCGGCUCCCUCUCCUAUCCCUAGUCCUCUUUUCUAAGAUGUAGUGUUCUAUGCAGAAGAUCUAUUUGCUAGUACUUGGGCUCACUGCUGUUUAUAUUUGAUUAUUCUAUUAUUAUGUAUACUGAAAAUGCUAUAACGAAUUUACUGCUCAUAUUCCUGUACAAAAGCCCUCGUUCGAAUUAAUGACAUGCUUCAUUUCUAAACAAACAGGGAAGUUGAAGAUCUCGCUAGGAGGCUCAAUUCUGUUUGGCCUGAAAGAAUGCAUUUGGGUCAAGAAAGAAGAAUUGAGUCGCAACUGAUUGGUGAUGGUACGAUGUGGUGGUUAUCUUUUUUCGUUGCUGGAACCUGGAUGUCAUAUGUUAUGUGAUUUGAGCCAAAUGGCAUAUUGUAAUCUUUUUAUUGCUGGUUUUUACGUACGAUGUCAUGAAGAUGUACGUUUGAAAUGUUGCUUUGAUAGCAAAAUUGUAUUCCUGUGUACAUGCUGCUUUGACAGCAAUAUUAUGAAAAUUUCUCAACAAUAUA